UUGGAAUUCUCCCUCUCAGGAAACUAACAGCCUGCUAUGAAGCCCAAGCCACAAAGAGAGGCCAAGGGGAAAUAAACAGAGUGUGAUUAUAUGCAAAACCUACAAGAAUGAGGACCUCCAAACUCAGUGUACAGAGUGAUUUUCUGCUGAAACAAUUGGUAGAGACGGGGUUUCACUGUGUUAGCCAGGAUGGUCUCGAUCUCCUGACCUCGUGAUCCGCCCGCCUCGGCCUCCCACAAUGCUGGGAUUACAGGCAUCAGCCACUGCACCCGGCAUAAUUAUCUAAAUUUCUGAAAAUGAAUAUCUCCAUAGUCUUUCAUUCUGUUAAAUAAAUGGCAUUUACUGGAAAUAGCAGCUAGUUUUUGGUGGUUUUGUCAAACAGUUACCUGAUAUUU
This 395-nucleotide long non-coding RNA is filed under the name Homo sapiens (human). RNAcentral describes it as "HSALNT0322103". Lineage: Eukaryota; Metazoa; Chordata; Mammalia; Primates; Hominidae. The record is from RNAcentral.